This 83-nucleotide long non-coding RNA is filed under the name Homo sapiens (human). RNAcentral describes it as "HSALNT0371713". The record is from RNAcentral. Lineage: Eukaryota; Metazoa; Chordata; Mammalia; Primates; Hominidae.
AAAUUUUGGACAUUCCUGCUCUAGAAGUUUCUUCUUCUUCUUCUUCUUCUUUUUUUUUUUUGUUGUUUUUUUUUUUGUUUUUU